AUUGAACGCUGGCGGCAGGCCUAACACAUGCAAGUCGAACGGUAACAGAAAGCAGCUUGCUGCUUUGCUGACGAGUGGCGGACGGGUGAGUAAUGUCUGGGAAACUGCCUGAUGGAGGGGGAUAACUACUGGAAACGGUAGCUAAUACCGCAUAACGUCGCAAGACCAAAGAGGGGGACCUUCGGGCCUCUUGCCAUCGGAUGUGCCCAGAUGGGAUUAGCUAGUAGGUGGGGUAAAGGCUCACCUAGGCGACGAUCCCUAGCUGGUCUGAGAGGAUGACCAGCCACACUGGAACUGAGACACGGUCCAGACUCCUACGGGAGGCAGCAGUGGGGAAUAUUGCACAAUAGGCGCAAGCCUGAUGCAGCCAUGCCGCGUGUAUGAAGAAGGCCUUCGGGUUGUAAAGUACUUUCAGCGGGGAGGAAGGGAGUAAAGUUAAUACCUUUGCUCAUUGACGUUACCCGCAGAAGAAGCACCGGCUAACUCCGUG
RNAcentral lists this ribosomal RNA (490 nucleotides) under uncultured bacterium. RNAcentral's name for it is "partial 16S ribosomal RNA". It matches the Rfam family "Bacterial small subunit ribosomal RNA", at positions 30 to 507 of the family's 1533-position model. The record is from RNAcentral.